Molecule: ribosomal RNA, 264 nt
Filed under: uncultured bacterium
Lineage: Bacteria
Description: partial 16S ribosomal RNA
Rfam family: Bacterial small subunit ribosomal RNA
Source: RNAcentral
GCAAGUCGAGGGAGAAAGUCAUUUCGGUGGCGAGUAAACCGGCGCAAGGGUGAGUAACGCUAGUUAAUGUAACCAUCGGAGCAGAAUAAUUCACCGAAAGGUGUUGUAAAACUGGAUGAUACAUGGAGGUCUUCGGGCUUUUCUGUCAAUGUCGUGGGACCCUUCGGGGCCACGAGCCGAUGGAGCGGACUAGCUCCGAUUAGCUUGUUGGUGAGGUAAUGGCUCACCAAGGCAUUGAUCUGUAGCCGGCCUGAGAGGGUGUUC